AUUUAAGGGGCUCAGUUGGUAGAGUGCUUAUCUCUCAAGCACAAGGCCCUGGGUUCAGUCCCCAGCACCAAAAUG
This 75-nucleotide transfer RNA is filed under the name Marmota monax (woodchuck). RNAcentral's name for it is "tRNA.Glu". Lineage: Eukaryota; Metazoa; Chordata; Mammalia; Rodentia; Sciuridae. The record is from RNAcentral.